RNAcentral lists this long non-coding RNA (636 nucleotides) under Homo sapiens (human). RNAcentral's name for it is "non-protein coding lnc-MYF5-2:7". The record is from RNAcentral. Lineage: Eukaryota; Metazoa; Chordata; Mammalia; Primates; Hominidae.
AGUGCUAUUUCAGACUCCUUUCGUACUGUCAAAUCUCACUCAACUUUUAGCAUCUAUUUCAAUUGGCAUCUCUUCCAAGAAGAUUUUUCUAAUUUCCUCAAGUGAUGUGUUAUCUCCCCUAUAAUUGAACCCCAUUUUGAUAUUUGUGUCCCUUUUUAGCUUUUUUUUUAACUUGUUUUCUAUUAGAGGUGUUAGUGUCCUACUCAUCUUGCUUUUCCUACAGCUAGUAAGUGGACAUCCAGGAGGUACAAGGAUAUAUCCCAGACCUGGCCAGUCAUGCUACCAUUUCCCAUAAUAAUCUCCUUAAGAAGUGAGCACCAGACCCAAGUCAUUCAGAUACUACCUGUAAGAUAUAGGCACUGAGGGAAAGAGUCUGGUUUUUCUUUUAGAUGAAGAGCUAUAAGAAUGGAAUCGAGACUAGGAGAGGAACAUCCAAAGGAGAGAAAAUGACUGCAGUGGGAGAGAACAAGAGCUACGAUCAAAAAGAGGAGAGACAAGCAGCACUGAGGAAGACAGAAGGGUAAGAAGAGGUAAGAAUUCUAUCAACACUGAGAUACUGAGACCUGGAUCUGUCCUGUUUUGGAAGUAAUUGAUUCUCUCUCUCUUUUUUUUUUCUUCUCAAGCUCAAGUGAGUUG